Molecule: ribosomal RNA, 492 nt
Filed under: uncultured bacterium
Lineage: Bacteria
Description: partial 16S ribosomal RNA
Rfam family: Bacterial small subunit ribosomal RNA
Source: RNAcentral
AGUGAACGCUGGCGGUAGGCCUAACACAUGCAAGUCGAACGGCAGCACAGUAAGAGCUUGCUCUUACGGGUGGCGAGUGGCGGACGGGUGAGGAAUACAUCGGAAUCUACUUUUUCGUGGGGGAUAACGUAGGGAAACUUACGCUAAUACCGCAUACGACCUACGGGUGAAAGCAGGGGAUCUUCGGACCUUGCGCGAUUGAAUUAGCCGAUGUCGGACUAGCUAGUUGGCGGGGUAAAGGCCCACCAAGGCGACGAUCCGUAGCUGGUCUGAGAGGAUGAUCAGCCACACGGGAACUGAGACACGGACCAGAGUACUACGGGAGGGAGCAGUGGGGAAUAUUGGACAAUGGGGGCAAGCCUGAUCCAGCAAUACCGCGUGGGUGAAGAAGGCGUUCGGGUUGUAAAGCCCUUUUGUUGGGAAAGAAAAGCAGCAGGUUAAUACCCCGCUGUUCUGACGGUACCCAAAGAAUAAGCACCGGCUAACUUCGUG